UACGGAGGGUGCGAGCGUUGUCCGGAAUCACUGGGCGUAAAGGGCGCGUAGGCGGCGCGGAUAGUCGGCGGUGAAAGCCCGGAGCUCAACUCCGGGUCGGCCGUCGAUACUUCCGGGCUUGAGCACUGUAGAGGCAGAUGGAAUUCCGGGUGUAGCGGUGGAAUGCGUAGAGAUCCGGAAGAACACCGGUGGCGAAGGCGGUCUGCUGGGCAGUUGCUGACGCUGAUGCGCGACAGCGUGGGGAGCAAACGAGGAUUAGAGUACCC
This 266-nucleotide ribosomal RNA is filed under the name uncultured bacterium. Its description in RNAcentral is "partial 16S ribosomal RNA". It matches the Rfam family "Bacterial small subunit ribosomal RNA", at positions 524 to 788 of the family's 1533-position model. The record is from RNAcentral.